UUUUUUCCCUGGUAAUUAAUUCUCUGAUCCUCCUCUAAUUCUGUUGAUUAGGGGAAGAGCUAAUAAUCUUUUGUUAAAGAACUUGCCUUGAUAAAGAUACCCUCCGCUGUUUGUUGAUCUCUUGUGCCUUUAUCCAAGCCACAGUUGCAGUCACUAAUAACCUAUCUUUCUUGGAAGUUGGUCAUCACUUUUAGGUGUACCUCCGGGGUGUUUGGUUCCAUACUUUUAAAAAAGUGUGAUUUUGGUGGUUAUGUUAUUAAAGUGAAGGCAGGAUAGCAUAUUGGUGGCAGCUGGAAGGUUCAUUCCAUGUGGUUGUGAAUCUGUCUCCGGCAAAUGAUCUUUAUGGUAGGAGUGGUCGAUAAUUAAACUAAGGGAAGACUAUAAAUCUCAUGAUGUUCACUGGCUAACAAGAGGAGGAGGAGCGGUGGCUGGUGAAUAUUUUUGGCUUUCUGAUUAACUAGGAAGGAGCCCCCAAAAAAGCAAACCUGACUCGAUUGAUUAUGGUACGACCAGUGAGUCACCCUUGGCUGGAAAGGAUUUUCAGAGUUUGCUCUUGUGACCAUGAGAGCUAGUGAAAAGUUUGUAUGGUUGGUGAAAAAACAAAGGGUCUUUGCAUGGUGCAAUGGUGGUCCAGCAAGAAAAACCGGUGAUGUGAAAUGGUGGGUAAGCAGACCGUUUCAUCUCACGGUGGUCCUUUCAUGUAAUGUUAGAAACUGGCUAGCAUCCUAAGCUUGAGAGAUUCAAAAUCUUGAGAGACUUGUUGUACAUGUCAAAAAGGGAGCUAAAAAACAAAAGCUCCAUGACUUUAAUCUUCUAACCAAAUAUGGAGAUGGUGAGAUGGUUUUCAUUUUGUCUCGUGGCAUUGAGCUGGCCUACUAUCUUUGUCCCAGAUAUAUUAUUAAUUCUGAGAUUUGUUUUAUAGGAAAGAUGGUGGUUUCCACCAUGUGAUGUGAUGCCAGGCCAGCAAUUAUAUGUGCAAGAGCAAGAGCAAGACCGACCAUUCUUCACUAUUCUCACUACUGAUUGCGCCUUGCCGCCAGGCAACUUGAUGCUGCUAUAGGCGUUAUCAUAAGUUUGUGUAACUUUCCACCGUACUGCAGAUCCACUCGGCUGGCAAUAGCAUACGAGAAAAGGAGGUCAUGAGCUUCAAGCUUCAUGCCACCUUACUACAGCCAGUCUUUCUAGCUUGUAGUUCACUACAGACAGAAAGUACUAAAAUUUUAAUGCAGAAAAUGAUUAGAAAGGGAGAUAAUCCAACAGGCGGGUGAUUACUGGUUUACAAAUAAUCCAACUUUGAUCGGAUUUAGCUUCUACGUUUGCAAGAAAGUCAGCCACACUUAUUUCCUUCCCUCUUAAAGAAAGUGUGUUGGUGGAUUAGCACAUCCAUUCCCUGGUCAGAAAUCUUGCAAUCCUCCACAUCCCUUUGUGAGUUGAUAGAUGUUGUUACUAAGGUUCAUAACAAUGACAGAGACUCGAGAUUAGAGUCCUACCUGAACGAACACCUUCAGUUCAAGUUUGAGGUCAUCUCCGCAGUCUAUCAUGGCAAGAAAAACAGAGGAAAAACAAAAGAGAUGUGACAUCUCUCUUGUCUUUUUCUUCUUUAAGUGUACAAUUAAGAAUUCACUACUGGUAUGCAAGGCAACAAAGAUUUCUUUUCGACCAAGGAAAAAUAUGAUGAAUGCAG
Molecule: long non-coding RNA, 1684 nt
Filed under: Coffea arabica (coffee)
Lineage: Eukaryota; Viridiplantae; Streptophyta; Magnoliopsida; Gentianales; Rubiaceae
Description: long non-coding RNA (CARA_LNC002731)
Source: RNAcentral